AAAUUUAGGUUCGCNAAACCAAGGGCCUUCAAAGCCCCAAACAGGUACNCCUACCUAAUUUCUG
Molecule: transfer RNA, 64 nt
Filed under: Lygodactylus heterurus
Lineage: Eukaryota; Metazoa; Chordata; Lepidosauria; Squamata; Gekkonidae
Description: tRNA-Trp
Source: RNAcentral